GGUUAAGCGACUAAGCGUACACGGUGGAUGCCCUGGCAGUCAGAGGCGAUGAAGGACGUGCUAAUCUGCGAUAAGCGUCGGUAAGGUGAUAUGAACCGUUAUAACCGGCGAUUUCCGAAUGGGGAAACCCAGUGUGUUUCGACACACUAUCAUUAACUGAAUCCAUAGGUUAAUGAGGCGAACCGGGGGAACUGAAACAUCUAAGUACCCCGAGGAAAAGAAAUCAACCGAGAUUCCCCCAGUAGCGGCGAGCGAACGGGGAGGAGCCCAGAGCCUGAAUCAGUGUGUGUGUUAGUGGAAGCGUCUGGAAAGGCGCGCGAUACAGGGUGACAGCCCCGUACACAAAAAUGCACAUGCUGUGAGCUCGAUGAGUAGGGCGGGACACGUGGUAUCCUGUCUGAAUAUGGGGGGACCAUCCUCCAAGGCUAAAUACUCCUGACUGACCGAUAGUGAACCAGUACCGUGAGGGAAAGGCGAAAAGAACCCCGGCGAGGGGAGUGAAAAAGAACCUGAAACCGUGUACGUACAAGCAGUGGGAGCAUGCUUAGGCGUGUGACUGCGUACCUUUUGUAUAAUGGGUCAGCGACUUAUAUUCUGUAGCAAGGUUAACCGAAUAGGGGAGCCGAAGGGAAACCGAGUCUUAACUGGGCGUUAAGUUGCAGGGUAUAGACCCGAAACCCGGUGAUCUAGCCAUGGGCAGGUUGAAGGUUGGGUAACACUAACUGGAGGACCGAACCGACUAAUGUUGAAAAAUUAGCGGAUGACUUGUGGCUGGGGGUGAAAGGCCAAUCAAACCGGGAGAUAGCUGGUUCUCCCCGAAAGCUAUUUAGGUAGCGCCUCGUGAACUCAUCUCCGGGGGUAGAGCACUGUUUCGGCAAGGGGGUCAUCCCGACUUACCAACCCGAUGCAAACUGCGAAUACCGGAGAAUGUUAUCACGGGAGACACACGGCGGGUGCUAACGUCCGUCGUGAAGAGGGAAACAACCCAGACCGCCAGCUAAGGUCCCAAAGUCAUGGUUAAGUGGGAAACGAUGUGGGAAGGCCCAGACAGCCAGGAUGUUGGCUUAGAAGCAGCCAUCAUUUAAAGAAAGCGUAAUAGCUCACUGGUCGAGUCGGCCUGCGCGGAAGAUGUAACGGGGCUAAACCAUGCACCGAAGCUGCGGCAGCGACGCUUAUG
Molecule: ribosomal RNA, 1177 nt
Filed under: Escherichia coli
Lineage: Bacteria; Pseudomonadati; Pseudomonadota; Gammaproteobacteria; Enterobacterales; Enterobacteriaceae
Also listed under: 1 other name
Description: partial 23S ribosomal RNA
Rfam family: Bacterial large subunit ribosomal RNA
Source: RNAcentral